This 30-nucleotide non-coding RNA is filed under the name Rattus norvegicus (Norway rat). Lineage: Eukaryota; Metazoa; Chordata; Mammalia; Rodentia; Muridae. The record is from RNAcentral.
UUGACUAUAGUUCUCAGUGACUGGUAUUCA